Molecule: non-coding RNA, 29 nt
Filed under: Homo sapiens (human)
Lineage: Eukaryota; Metazoa; Chordata; Mammalia; Primates; Hominidae
Source: RNAcentral
UCUGCCCUGCAUUGGCCUUGACCACAUGA